UACGGAAGGGGCGAGCGUUGUUCGGAAUCAUUGGGCGUAAAGGGCGCGUAGGUGGUCUUGUAUGUCUACCGUGAAAGCGUACGGCUCAACCGUAUUUUGUCGGUAGAAACUGCAGGACUUGAGGCUGGGAGGGGCUGGCGGAAUUCCCUGUGUAGCGGUGAAAUGCGUAGAGAUGGGGGAGAACACUCGUGGCGAAGGCGGCCGGCUAGACCAGUUCUGACACUGAGGCGCGAUAGCGUGGGGAGCAAACAGG
This 253-nucleotide ribosomal RNA is filed under the name uncultured bacterium. RNAcentral describes it as "partial 16S ribosomal RNA". It matches the Rfam family "Bacterial small subunit ribosomal RNA", at positions 524 to 776 of the family's 1533-position model. The record is from RNAcentral.